CUCUCUCUCUCUCUCUAUCUCUCUCUCUCUAUCUGCAUUGCAGCCCCCCUCCUGUAAGUGCUAGGCUGCUGCUGCUGAAAAUUUAGCAACACAAAUGGCGACUCCCAACUCAACCACAACAACACCUUCCUCCUCUUCCUCUUAUUCAUCCUCAUCUUCUACUUCCAGCCGCAGCAGCAGCAUUAACUCGGGAUCUACAGCACAUCAUCACCAGUCCCAGUCUCAGCAUAUAACCACCAUGAGCAGCAUACAGGGAUUUCAGAUUAACCUGUCUGGACCUCCCCAAAGUAAGCCCUUCCCUUCUGCCUCUGCUGAACUCUGUCUGAUCGUGGCUGUACCAGUGUCCGAUGCUCCUGCAUCUCCACUAAUCAGUGCCGCUGGGCUGUGAUAGGCUUGUGCCGGUUAAAGGGUUUGUGUUGGUGGUGUUUAGUGACGUCAGGGUUCUCGUGAUGUGGAGAUGAUGUGGAAGUCCCACUGUUACGAAACUGCACAGUGACUGUAUGAUAGACUUCAUUUGGUUGAUUGGUCGGCUCAGCAGAAAGUUCAUCAGUGAAAUACAUUUUUAAUCCAAGUGCUUGAUUGCAUUGAACUACUUGCACACAGCAUGGCUAUACUCUCUAGUGGCUCAUGGCUAUACUCUCAAGUUUUGCCAGUAGAAUAGGACUCUGAAGCAGAUAAACAUGAACCUGUUGGCCCCAUAACCAAUGCCAGGUUCUAUAGAGGGCUGUGAGCCUCCAGAAUUGAGAUGUAGAUUAGUGAAGCUGUGUUCACCAUCCAGUACUUUUGUGUUGAGUUGGAAGUUCGGGAAGAGGUGGGCUGUAAAUCAUCCAACAUGCAACCAAAUCCUCACAGGAAUGCUCCAUAGUAGUAGAAAGUCAUCUCUGGACAGUAGACGUUUAAUCUUAUAAAAGCUGGAUAAACUAUUGCAAUUGUGAAUGAGCAAGUGUCCCAAAACCUUUGUCCUUAGGUUAUUGGUUGUAAAGCAUCUUUAGGAAUGCUAUUAUUACAAAUUGGCUGUUUUGUUGGAAAAUGCCACAGAGAACACUGUUCCACUUCUCUACAGCCCAGUGCUGGCUGGUGGCUUUAUACCUGUACAACAAAUAUGUAGAUAUGUAAGGGCAGAUUUUCAAACAGGGAUAAAACAUAGUCUUGAACUACACAUCAUUUUGAAUGGAGAUUUCUCGUUAAAAGAAAAAUUUAAUCUAGGACUAGGCUUAUUUCCUGUCAGAGAAACUGCCCCAUGGUGUAACCAAGAAUGCUAAAACAGCAGAAUCUGGUAAACCUUCUGCUUUAUCUUUCAGUCAAUGUAAAUGAUCAUACCUUUAUUUCACAAAAAAUAAUAAGUGAAAGUACGUAAUAAUAAAAUCGCUCUUCAGCACA
This 1380-nucleotide long non-coding RNA is filed under the name Astyanax mexicanus (Mexican tetra). RNAcentral describes it as "lncRNA (ENSAMXG00005005284.1)". Lineage: Eukaryota; Metazoa; Chordata; Actinopteri; Characiformes; Acestrorhamphidae. The record is from RNAcentral.